This 789-nucleotide ribosomal RNA is filed under the name uncultured archaeon. Its description in RNAcentral is "bacterial SSU rRNA". It matches the Rfam family "Archaeal small subunit ribosomal RNA", at positions 85 to 879 of the family's 1478-position model. The record is from RNAcentral.
ACGGCUCAGUAACACGUGGACAAUCUACCCUAUGGAGGGGGAUAACCCCGGGAAACUGGGGAUAAUACCCCAUAGACUAUAGAUGCUGGAAUGCUUUGUAGUUAAAAGGUCAGCCGCCAUAGGAUGGGUCUGCGGCCGAUUAGGUUGUUGUUGGGGUAACGGCCCAACAAGCCUGUAAUCGGUACGGGUUGUGGGAGCAAGAGCCCGGAGAUGGAUUCUGAGACACGAAUCCAGGCCCUACGGGGCGCAGCAGGCGCGAAAACUUUACAAUGCGGGAAACCGUGAUAAGGGAACUCCGAGUGCCCGUAAAAUCGGGCUGUCCAUCUGUGUAAAUAACAGGUGAAGAAAGGGCCGGGCAAGACCGGUGCCAGCCGCCGCGGUAAUACCGGCGGCUCGAGUGGUGGCCACUAUUACUGGGCUUAAAGCGUUCGUAGCUGGUCUGUUAAGUCUCUGGGGAAAUCUACUGGCUUAACCAAUAGGCGUCUCAGGGAUACUGGCAGACUAGGGACCGGGAGAGGUGAGAGGUACUCCAGGGGUAGGAGUGAAAUCCUGUAAUCUUUGGGGGACCACCUGUGGCGAAGGCGUCUCACCAGAACGGCUCCGACAGUGAGGGACGAAAGCUGGGGGAGCAAACCGGAUUAGAUACCCGGGUAGUCCCAGCCGUAAACGAUGCGCGUUAGGUGUAUCGGUGACCACGAGUCACCGAGGUGCCGAAGAGAAAUCGUGAAACGCGCCGCCUGGGAAGUACGGUCGCAAGGCUGAAACUUAAAGGAAUUGGCGGGGGAGCAC